Molecule: ribosomal RNA, 873 nt
Filed under: Clostridium cadaveris
Lineage: Bacteria; Bacillati; Bacillota; Clostridia; Eubacteriales; Clostridiaceae
Description: partial 23S ribosomal RNA
Rfam family: Bacterial large subunit ribosomal RNA
Source: RNAcentral
AGGGCGAAAAGUUGCAUGCUGUAGACCCGAAACCAGGUGACCUAUCCAUGGUCAGGUUGAAGCGAAGGUAAAACUUCGUGGAGGACCGAACCACGUUGGUGUUGAAAAACCAUGGGAUGAACUGUGGAUAGCGGAGAAAUUCCAAUCGAACUUGGAGAUAGCUGGUUCUCCCCGAAAUAGCUUUAGGGCUAGCGUUGAGAAUGAGUAGUGGAGGUAGAGCACUGAAUGGGCUAGGGGGCAUAGAGCUUACUGAACCUUAUCAAACUCCGAAUGCCACUAACUUGAAUCUCAGCAGUCAGACUACGAAUGAUAAGAUCCGUGGUCAAAAGGGAAACAGCCCAGACCAUCAGCUAAGGUCCCAAAGUGUAGAUUAAGUGGAAAAGGAUGUGGGAUUUCUAAGACAACUAGGAUGUUGGCUUAGAAGCAGCCACUCAUUUAAAGAGUGCGUAAUAGCUCACUAGUCAAGAGAUCCUGCGCCGAAGAUGUCCGGGGCUAAAAUCUACCACCGAAGCUAUGGGUGUACACUAGAUGUACGCGGUAGGGGAGCGUCCUAUGUUGGAAGAAGUUGUACCGAAAGGAGCAGUGGACGACAUAGGAGUGAGAAUGCUGGCAUAAGUAGCGAGAAGUGAGUGAGAAUCUCACUGGCCGAAAACCUAAGGUUUCCUGAGGAAGGCUCGUCCGCUCAGGGUUAGUCGGGACCUAAGCCGAGGCCGAAAGGCGUAGGUGAUGGACAAUCGGUUGAUAUUCCGAUACCACUAUAAGCGUAUGACCAAUGGGGUGACGCAGGAGGAUAAGAUGUGCUAACUAAUGGAUGUUAGUCUAAGCACUUAGACAGUAAAGAUAGGCAAAUCCGUCUUUACAAUGUUGAGGUGU